This 460-nucleotide ribosomal RNA is filed under the name uncultured bacterium. RNAcentral's name for it is "partial 16S ribosomal RNA". It matches the Rfam family "Bacterial small subunit ribosomal RNA", at positions 338 to 795 of the family's 1533-position model. The record is from RNAcentral.
CCUACGGGAGGCAGCAGUGAGGAAUAUUGGUCAAUGGACGAGAGUCUGAACCAGCCAAGUAGCGUGAAGGAUGACUGCCCUAUGGGUUGUAAACUUCUUUUAUAUGGGAAUAAAAUGUUCCACGUGUGGGAUUUUGUAUGUACCAUAUGAAUAAGGAUCGGCUAACUCCGUGCCAGCAGCCGCGGUAAUACGGAGGAUCCGAGCGUUAUCCGGAUUUAUUGGGUUUAAAGGGAGCGUAGGUGGAUUGUUAAGUCAGUUGUGAAAGUUUGCGGCUCAACCGUAAAAUUGCAAUUGAUACUGGCAGUCUUGAGUACAGUUGAGGUAGGCGGAAUUCGUGGUGUAGCGGUGAAAUGCAUAGAUAUCACGCAGAACCCCGAUUGCGAAGGCAGCAUGCCGGCUUCCGACUGACGCUGAAGCACGAAAGCGUGGGGAUCGAACAGGAUUAGAUACCCCAGUAGUC